This 615-nucleotide ribosomal RNA is filed under the name uncultured bacterium. RNAcentral describes it as "bacterial SSU rRNA". It matches the Rfam family "Bacterial small subunit ribosomal RNA", at positions 338 to 945 of the family's 1533-position model. The record is from RNAcentral.
CCUACGGGAGGCAGCAGUGGGGAAUAUUGCGCAAUGGGGGAAACCCUGACGCAGCAACGCCGCGUGAGUGAGGAAGGACUUCGGUCUGUAAAGCUCUGUUAAUGUGGAAAAAUGGUAGUUGGUCUAAUAGGCCGAUUAUUUGAUGGUACACAUAGAGGAAGCACCGGCUAACUUCGUGCCAGCAGCCGCGGUAAUACGAAGGGUGCAAGCGUUGUUCGGAUUUAUUGGGCGUAAAGCGCGCGUAGGCGGACCUGUAAGUCAGAUGUGAAAUCUCGGGGCUCAACCUCGAAACUGCGUCUGAAACUGCAGGUCUAGAAUCUCGGAGGGGGAAGGGGAAUUUCGCAUGUAGGGGUAAAAUCCGUAGAUAUGCGAAGGAACACCAGAGGCGAAGGCGCCUUCCUGGACGAGUAUUGACGCUGAGGCGCGAAAGCGUGGGGAUCAAACAGGAUUAGAUACCCUGGUAGUCCACGCUGUAAACUAUGAACACUAGGUAUUGGAGGAUUUGACCCCUUCAGUGCCGUAGCUAACGCGUUAAGUGUUCCGCCUGGGAAGUACGGUCGCAAGCAAAACUCAAAGGAAUUGACGGCUGNGAGNGCGAGCGACGACGAGGAGGAG